This 237-nucleotide long non-coding RNA is filed under the name Theobroma cacao (cacao). RNAcentral describes it as "long non-coding RNA (TCAC_LNC001261)". The record is from RNAcentral. Lineage: Eukaryota; Viridiplantae; Streptophyta; Magnoliopsida; Malvales; Malvaceae.
UGAAUUUGCAUUUCAAAAUUUAUUUGGGAAUUCUAAUUAAGUUGAAAUGAAAUGCGUGAAUGAUUAUAUCUAAUUCCCAUUGAAAAAUGAAUCUCGGAAACAAGCCUUUAGUGAAAAUAUUUUUGUGAUGUUAAAUAUGAUUGCGAUGCAUCUGUGUAUAUCUGUAUGAUGCCUACAUGUAUUAUUGAGAAAUUGUGUGAAAUUAAGUGUACUGAAUCUAUGUACCCUUGUACUAUG